Molecule: ribosomal RNA, 479 nt
Filed under: uncultured bacterium
Lineage: Bacteria
Description: partial 16S ribosomal RNA
Rfam family: Bacterial small subunit ribosomal RNA
Source: RNAcentral
AAUGAACGCUAGCGGGAGGCCUAACACAUGCCAGCCGAGCGGUAUUGUUUCUUCGGAAAUGAGAGAGCGGCGUACGGGUGCGUAACACGUGUGCAACCUGCCUUUAUCUGGGGGAUAGCCUUUCGAAAGGAAGAUUAAUACUCCAUAAUAUAUUGAACGGCAUCGUUUAAUAUUGAAAGCUCCGGCGGAUAGAGAUGGGCACGCGCAAGAUUAGCUAGUUGGUGAGGUAACGGCUCACCAAGGCGAUGAUCUUUAGGGGGCCUGAGAGGGUGAUCCCCCACACUGGUACUGAGACACGGACCAGACUCCUACGGGAGGCAGCAGUGAGGAAUAUUGGUCAAUGGGUGCAAGCCUGAACCAGCCAUCCCGCGUGAAGGACGACUGCCCUAUGGGUUGUAAACUUCUUUUGUAUAGGGAUAAACCUACCCUCGUGAGGGUAGCUGAAGGUACUAUACGAAUAAGCACCGGCUAACUCCGUG